This 174-nucleotide unclassified non-coding RNA is filed under the name uncultured Hypocreales. RNAcentral describes it as "sequence contains ITS2". Lineage: Eukaryota; Fungi; Ascomycota; Sordariomycetes; Hypocreales. The record is from RNAcentral.
CAACCCUCAAACCCCCGGGUUUGGUGUUGGGGAUCGGCGGUCGCGGCCCUCUACGGGCCCGCGCCGGCCCCGAAAUCUAGUGGCGGUCUCGCUUGCAGCCUCCUCUGCGUAGUAGUAACAUUCUCGCACCGGAGCGCGGGCGCGGCCACGCCGUUAAACACCCCACUUCUGAAA